RNAcentral lists this long non-coding RNA (1108 nucleotides) under Linum usitatissimum (flax). RNAcentral describes it as "long non-coding RNA (LUSI_LNC007709)". The record is from RNAcentral. Lineage: Eukaryota; Viridiplantae; Streptophyta; Magnoliopsida; Malpighiales; Linaceae.
UCUGCCCAUGGGGAAUCAAUCUUCCGUCGGUCUUGUCUUUUUGCUGAUUUCGACUGAUAAAUCCCUGUGCAGGUUUUCCAGCCCUGGAUUCAGAAAAGAAAGAUAGCAUAUUCAAAGCAUAAGCAGUUGAUAUCAGGGGUUCUAAAGCAGUUGAAGGCAAAGACGUUGGGAAGGCUGUUCAUGGAUAAUGGUCAACCUAACGUAGAUGCAAUUCAGAAGUUCGUCUCUUAAUUGCAGUUCUCGUAUUAUAAAAUAAAAACAAAGAGCUUGCUGUUAACUCUAAGUUCUAAUGUAAGCUUCAACAAUCUAAUGACAGGUUAUUCGAGGUAAUGGAUGAGAACACAGAUGGGUAUCUAACAGGGAAGGAGUUGAGGGCACUAGUGAUAGGAAUACAACUCGAGGACGGAGACAUGGAUAUCGACAAUGCAGUAUAUCAUGUGCUGAAAGAAUUUGACACAUCUCACGAUUCGCUUAUUGAUAAGGACGAGUUCACACAAGGAGUCUCGAGAUGGCUUGAGAAGGCUAAGAAUUCAGCACUAUACGGACAUAGGUCGCUGACGGCAAAACUUCUACUUGACUUUGAAGAGGUAAACGCUGUUCUUCACAUAAUUAGUUCCAAAUUUUUAGCCAUGUAUAUGUAAAUGAUAUCUGGUAACGAGUUUGCAGUACACAAAGAAAGAACAAGAUAUUCUAGGAGGGCAGAAUGACAAUACCAAUAGUCCUCGAGGUAUAGGCUGGGAUGGUGCAAAAGCAGGAUUGCUAUUGCUCUCAGGAACAUUCAUUGCUGCAGCAAUUGCAGAGCCUCUGGUUGAUGCUGUCAACAACUUCUCGAGCGCUUCAAAGAUCCCUCCAUUUUUUGUAUCGUUUGUCAUUUUGCCUUUUGCUAGUUCCAGUGAGAUCGUCUCAAUCCUAAUCUUUGCCAGCAAGAAGAAUAUGAGAUCUGCAUCGCUAGCAUACUCUGAGGUUUGUAUUACUCUUCUCCAUUUGAUUUAUAUGGAGAGAGGAACUGACCUUUCAAGCCACUGACUCGUGCGUGCUUUCUUCGUGCAGAUAUAUGGGUCCGUGACCAUGAGUAACAUUCUGUCGUUGUCAGUUUUCUUGGGUCUUG